GACACGGCUGUUUCGGUCGCUACCUGCAC
Molecule: small RNA, 29 nt
Filed under: Bombyx mori (domestic silkworm)
Lineage: Eukaryota; Metazoa; Arthropoda; Insecta; Lepidoptera; Bombycidae
Description: ovarian small RNA-15366
Source: RNAcentral